Molecule: ribosomal RNA, 332 nt
Filed under: uncultured bacterium
Lineage: Bacteria
Description: bacterial SSU rRNA
Rfam family: Bacterial small subunit ribosomal RNA
Source: RNAcentral
AUUGAACGCUGGCGGCAUGCUUUACACAUGCAAGUCGAGCGGGGUAGAGGGGCAACUCUCUAUUCAGCGGCGGACGGGUGAGUAAUGCAUCGGAACGUAUCCCGUAGUGGGGGACAACCCAGCGAAAGCUGGGCUAAUACCGCAUAUGCUCUGAGGAGGAAAGCGGGGGACCCAGCGGGCAACUGAGGGGCCUUGUGCUAUGGGAGCGGCCGAUGUCCGAUUAGCUGGUUGGUGAGGUAAAGGCUUACCAAGGCGACGAUCGGUAGCUGGUCUGAGAGGAUGAUCAGCCACACUGGGACUGAGACACGGCCCAGACUCCUACGGGAGGCAGC